Molecule: long non-coding RNA, 231 nt
Filed under: Brassica napus (rape)
Lineage: Eukaryota; Viridiplantae; Streptophyta; Magnoliopsida; Brassicales; Brassicaceae
Description: long non-coding RNA (BNAP_LNC012915)
Source: RNAcentral
CAAAACUAUAUGUGUGUUUUACUCUAUUUUAACAGUAACUAGAUUUUGACCCGCGCUUCGCUUCAAAAGCGCGGUUUUUUUUUGGAUUUUAGACAAAGUGUAUGAAUAUAUUUUGGGUAUUUUUGGAUCUUCGGAUAUUUUUUUCAAGUUUCAAAUUAUUUUUCAGGUUUUUGGAUACUUCUAAUCUUUUCAAAUGUUGAAUAUCUGAACCGAGCUAGACCUAUUACGUAC